UACGGAGGAUGCAAGCGCUAUCCGGAAUGAUUGGGCGUAAAGCGUCCGCAGGUGGCUAUGUAAGUCUGCUGUUAAAGAGUGAGGCUCAACCUCAUAAGAGCAGUGGAAACUACAUGGCUAGAGUGCGUUCGGGGCAGAGGGAAUUCCUGGUGUAGCGGUGAAAUGCGUAGAGAUCAGGAAGAACACCAGUGGCGAAGGCGCUCUGCUAGGCCGUAACUGACACUGAGGGACGAAAGCUAGGGGAGCGAAUGGG
RNAcentral lists this ribosomal RNA (253 nucleotides) under uncultured bacterium. RNAcentral's name for it is "partial 16S ribosomal RNA". It matches the Rfam family "Bacterial small subunit ribosomal RNA", at positions 524 to 776 of the family's 1533-position model. The record is from RNAcentral.